CAAUAGCGUAUAUUAAAGUUGUUGCGGUUAAAAGCUCGUAGUUGGAUUUCUGUGGUGGGCAGCCGGUCCACACUAUGUGUGAGCAUCGGUUCGGCCACUGCAUCCUCCUGAGGACCGUGGUGCGCUUCAUUGCGUGGUGCGGAAUUCAGGACUUUUACUUUGAGGAAAUUAGAGUGUUCACGGCAGGCGCUUGCCCUGAAUAUAUUAGCAUGGAAUAAUAAUAUAGGGCGAUAGUUCUAUUUUGUUGGUUUCUAGAGCUGUCGCAAUGAUUAAUAGGGAUAGUUGGGGGCAUUCGUAUUAUGAAGUCAGAGGUGGAAUUCUCAGAUUUGUUAAAGACUAACUUAUGCGAAGACAUUUGCCAAGGAUGUUUUCUAUUAAUCAAGAACGAAAGUUAAGGGGAGUCAAAGAUGAUCAGAUACC
This 420-nucleotide ribosomal RNA is filed under the name uncultured eukaryote. Its description in RNAcentral is "bacterial SSU rRNA". It matches the Rfam family "Eukaryotic small subunit ribosomal RNA", at positions 592 to 1016 of the family's 1831-position model. The record is from RNAcentral.